CCGGCGCACGGGUGAGUAACACGUAUCCAACCUGCCGUCUACUCUUGGACAGCCUUCUGAAAGGAAGAUUAAUACAAGAUGGCAUCACGAGUCCGCAUGUUCACAUGAUUAAAGGUGUUCCGGUAGACGAUGGGGAUGCGUUCCAUUAGAUAGUAGGCGGGGUAACGGCCCACCUAGUCUUCGAUGGAUAGGGGUUCUGAGAGGAAGGUCCCCCACAUUGGAACUGAGACACGGUCCAA
This 239-nucleotide ribosomal RNA is filed under the name uncultured bacterium. Its description in RNAcentral is "partial 16S ribosomal RNA". It matches the Rfam family "Bacterial small subunit ribosomal RNA", at positions 95 to 334 of the family's 1533-position model. The record is from RNAcentral.